GGGGAUAAUAUUAGAAUUGACAUUUAUCUAAU
This 32-nucleotide non-coding RNA is filed under the name Phytophthora ramorum (sudden oak death agent). The record is from RNAcentral. Lineage: Eukaryota; Oomycota; Peronosporomycetes; Peronosporales; Peronosporaceae.